AAAUCCUGCGUUUAUGCUAAAGGUUUUCCCGCACUGUCAAGAAGUGUGACCGAGCAACAGAAUGACCACAUACACAGACAAAGGUGAGAAGCAUGAACAAGGCAGGUUUCUCUGCUUCGAUCACCUAACAUUUUGGGUUGGAAAUGCCAAACAGGCUGCAUCAUUUUAUUGUAAUAAACUGGGCUUUGAGCCUUUGGCCUACCAGGGUUUAGAGACUGGCAGUCGUGACGUAGUGUCCCAUGUGGUCAAACAAGGAAAGAUCAUUUAUGUCUUCUCAUCGGCCCUUAAUCCUGGAAACAAAGAGAUGGGAGACCAUUUGGUGAAGCAUGGCGAUGGUGUGAAGGACAUUGCAUUCACUGUGGAGGAUUGUGACUUCCUGGUGCAGAAAGCACGUGAACGAGGUGCAGUGGUUGUAAAGGAGCCUUAUAUCUUGGAGGAUAAAUUUGGUAAAGUAAAACUGGCGGUGCUUCAAACGUAUGGAGACACCACACAUACAUUUGUGGAGAGGAUGGGGUAUAGUGGUUUAUUUCUGCCCGGGUUUCAAGAACCUCUAUUCAAGGAUCCUUUGUUAACCAAGUUGCCUGAUGGUAAAUUGAAGUUUAUCGAUCAUGUUGUGGGGAAUCAGCCUGAUGACGAGAUGGUCCCUGUGGUUGAAUGGUAUCGAAGGAACCUUCUCUUUCAUCGAUUCUGGUCUGUGGAUGACAAGCAGCUUCAGACUCAGUUUAGUGCCCUACGUUCUAUUGUUGUAGCAAACCAUGAAGAGACUGUCAAAAUGCCCAUCAAUGAGCCUGCCAUGGGAAAGAGGAAGUCUCAAAUCCAGGAAUAUGUGGAGUACUAUGGGGGCCCAGGUGUACAGCACAUAGCCAUGAACACAUCAGAUAUCAUCACUGCUAUUCAAAAUCUGAAGGAGCGUGGGAUGGAAUUCAUGUCUGUCCCAGACACAUACUAUGAACAGCUCAAGGAGAAAUUAAAGUUUUCCAAAGUCAAAAUCCAGGAAGAUUUGGAUGUUCUGCAGGAUUGCAUAUCAUUUACAGAAGCUGAGGAUUUUGGUGGACUAUGAUGACAAUGGUUACCUGCUUCAGAUCUUUACAAAACCAGUUCAGGACCGUCCCACUGUGUUCCUAGAGGUUAUUCAGAGACACAACCACCAGGGAUUCGGAGCUGGAAACUUCAAGUCUCUCUUUGAAGCAAUUGAGGCAGACCAGCAUGCCAGAGGAAAUCUGACAGUUCUGACCCCCAAUGGAGUAACAAAAGGAAUGUAACAGCAAAAACACAAGGAGUAACCUAUAUUCACUUUUAAAUAGGCAGACAAUGUUAAUAUUUCUCUGGAUCAAGGCGGUAACAUCGACUUACAGAGAUACAAGAGAUCUGCAAUAUUUUAU
Molecule: RNA transcript, 1382 nt
Organism: Boleophthalmus pectinirostris (great blue-spotted mudskipper)
Lineage: Eukaryota; Metazoa; Chordata; Actinopteri; Gobiiformes; Gobiidae
Gene: hpdb
Gene name: 4-hydroxyphenylpyruvate dioxygenase b
Exons: 14
Source: RefSeq, a predicted model, not a curated record